GUCGUCUUUAUUAGGUAAUAACACCCACUUUGUCAUCAUCGGUGAAGACGAAGCGAUAUGGUUUGUUUCUUGGCGACGGUAGUGCUCACAUCAUCGGGUUAAGUC
Long non-coding RNA from Haliotis rubra (blacklip abalone), 105 nucleotides. RefSeq lists it as uncharacterized. Lineage: Eukaryota; Metazoa; Mollusca; Gastropoda; Lepetellida; Haliotidae. The transcript is spliced from 3 exons. The record is from RefSeq and is a predicted model, not a curated record.